UACGGAGGGUGCAAGCGUUGUUCGGAAUUACUGGGCGUAAAGCGCGUGUAGGCGGUUUGGUAAGUCGAAUGUGAAAUCCCUGGGUUCAACCCGGGAACUGUAUCCGAAACUGCCAGGCUAGAGUCUCGGAGAGGAAGGCAGAAUUCCCAGUGUAGGGGUGAAAUCCGUAGAUAAUGGGAGGAAUACCAGCAGCGAAGGCGGCCUUCUGGACGAUGACUGAAGCUGAGACGCGAAAGCGUGGCGAGCAAACAGG
Molecule: ribosomal RNA, 253 nt
Filed under: uncultured bacterium
Lineage: Bacteria
Description: partial 16S ribosomal RNA
Rfam family: Bacterial small subunit ribosomal RNA
Source: RNAcentral